This 24-nucleotide non-coding RNA is filed under the name Arabidopsis thaliana (thale cress). Lineage: Eukaryota; Viridiplantae; Streptophyta; Magnoliopsida; Brassicales; Brassicaceae. The record is from RNAcentral.
UGCUUUCCGACUAAUGCCAGAGAG